This 363-nucleotide long non-coding RNA is filed under the name Gossypium barbadense (sea-island cotton). RNAcentral's name for it is "long non-coding RNA (GBAR_LNC023114)". Lineage: Eukaryota; Viridiplantae; Streptophyta; Magnoliopsida; Malvales; Malvaceae. The record is from RNAcentral.
ACAGAUACAAAAGGAGUGAACCGAGGAAUCCGUCCAAUCCUCAAUUCCCGUAUCCACGACGGGAACAACCUAAUAUGGGCCAGAGUACAAGAGAGUCAGUCAGGUCAGAACCCUGGUUCCAAAAUCCACCACGGCAACCACCUCAAAAUAUGGGCCAGGAUACAAGCGAGUCAGUCAGGUCAGAACCCUGGUUCCAUAAUCCACCACGGCAACCACCUCAAAAUAUGGGCCAGAAUACAAGAGAGUCAGUCAGGUCAGAACCCUGGUUCCAAUAUCCACCACGGCAACCACCACAAAAUAUGGGCCAGAAUACGAGAGAGACAGUUAGGUCAGCACCCCAGUUCCCAUAUCAACGACGGCAAC